AAGAGUGGUUAGGCGGAUUAGUAAGUGGAAAGUGAAAGGACGGGGCGUAUCCUCGGGAUGGAUUUCAAAAAUACUAAUAUAGAGUGUAGUAGGGGAUGAUGGAAUUCUUGGUGUAGAGGUGACAUUCCUAGAUAUUAGGAGGAACACCGGUGGCGAAGGCGGUCAUCUGGGCUACAACUGACGCUAAUGCACGAAAGCGUGGGGAGCA
RNAcentral lists this ribosomal RNA (208 nucleotides) under uncultured bacterium. Its description in RNAcentral is "partial 16S ribosomal RNA". It matches the Rfam family "Bacterial small subunit ribosomal RNA", at positions 563 to 770 of the family's 1533-position model. The record is from RNAcentral.